AGCUUUGCGCAGUGGCAGUAUCGUAGCCAAUGAGGUUUAUCCGAGGCGCGAUUAUUGCUAAUUGAAAAAAGGAAGAAACACAAAAAAAACAGCAGCAGCACUGAUUGCUGCAAACAGAUAAAUUACCGGAAGUUUCAAGGAUAAAGAAA
RNAcentral lists this small nuclear RNA (149 nucleotides) under Phocoena sinus (vaquita). Its description in RNAcentral is "U4 spliceosomal RNA (ENSPSNG00000000155.1)". The stretch from base 1 to 70 matches the Rfam family "U4 spliceosomal RNA". Lineage: Eukaryota; Metazoa; Chordata; Mammalia; Artiodactyla; Phocoenidae. The record is from Rfam by way of RNAcentral.